This 433-nucleotide ribosomal RNA is filed under the name uncultured bacterium. RNAcentral's name for it is "partial 16S ribosomal RNA". It matches the Rfam family "Bacterial small subunit ribosomal RNA", at positions 28 to 507 of the family's 1533-position model. The record is from RNAcentral.
GACGAACGCUGGCGGCAUGCCUAACACAUGCAAGUCGAACGAGACCUUCGGGCCUAGGUGCGCACGGGUGCGUAACGCGUGGUAACCUGCCCUUAGGUUCCGAAUAACUCCCCUAAAGGUAUCCUAAUACCGCAGAAGGUCUUCGGGCCAAAGAUUUAUCGCCUUUGGAUGGGGCCGAGUUGGUUUAGCUAGUUGGGAGGGUAAACGCCUAUCAAGGCGACGUUCCAGAGCUGGUCUGAGAGGAUGAUCAGCCAGACUGGGAAUGAGACAAGGACCACACUGCUACGGAAGGGAGCAGUGGGGAAUAUUGGACAAUGGGCGAAAGCGCGAUCCAGCAAUGCCGCGUGAGUGAUGAAGGCCUUAGGGUUGUAAAGCUCUUUCACCCGGGAUGAUAAUGACAGUACCGGGAGAAUAAGCUCCGGCUAACUCCGUG